RNAcentral lists this ribosomal RNA (160 nucleotides) under Scolecobasidium sp. RNAcentral describes it as "partial large subunit ribosomal RNA". It matches the Rfam family "Eukaryotic large subunit ribosomal RNA", at positions 99 to 261 of the family's 3401-position model. The record is from RNAcentral. Lineage: Eukaryota; Fungi; Ascomycota; Dothideomycetes; Venturiales; Sympoventuriaceae.
CGGCAACAGCUCAAAUUUGAAAUCUGGCCUUUGGUCCGAGUUGUAAUUUGUAGAGGAUGUUUCGGGUACGGCUGCGGUUUAAAUUUCUUGGAACAGAAUGUCAAAGAGGGUGAGAAUCCCGUCUUGGACCGCGGCACGGCCUAUGUGAAACUCCUUCGAC